This is a long non-coding RNA of Alosa alosa (allis shad), 497 nucleotides long. RefSeq lists it as uncharacterized. The transcript has 4 exons. The record is from RefSeq and is a predicted model, not a curated record. Lineage: Eukaryota; Metazoa; Chordata; Actinopteri; Clupeiformes; Clupeidae.
CAGGAGAUUAAGAGAAAGUUUGGUGUCAGAAGACAAAGAAUUGUGGACCAUGUGCCUCUGGAGGACCCACCUGGACAUCAGAGAGCAAAAAAGUACAGAGUGGGGGUCCAGAUGUCUUCUGAUUACGAGCCAACACAAGAGAUUAUGUUGGACCUUAUAGCAGUUGGGGAGGACUACCACAGCUUUCAAGAGCAUACGCCAUAAACAAUUAGUUGUGCCGUCGUCAGCCAGAUAUUAGUCAUAUAAUGGACAGGAUGAGGCAAACUGUCUAUAAGAGGGUAGAGUAAAUGGGAAAGCCAACUGAGGAGGUGAUGGAGAUGUUCCAAUUUCUUUGGGUGCCAGAGCUGAUGCAUCAUGAAAUGAAGUUGCGGUUUGGACUGGACUUAAAGCUAAGCCUGCAUAAUACCCUCAGUAUAUUGACCCCUAACGUCAUCAGAGUGGCUGACAGUGGGAGUCAGAGGGAGAGGCUGUCAAGCCUACGAGAUGCUAACACAGAU